UCAUAGUCCUUAUAGGUGGUGUAGAGGGAGUGGGUCCCUGUGGAGUCAGCUGGAGGAGAGACAGACAGUAGAGUUAGACAGACAGGUUCAUAGUCCUUAUAGGUGGUGUAGAGGGAGUGGGUCCCUGUGGAGUCAGCUAGAGGAGAGACAGACAGUAACUAGAGUUAGACAGACAGGUUCAUAGUCCUUAUAGGUGGUGUAGAGGGAGUGGGUCCCUGUGGAGUCAGCUAGAGGAGAGACAGACAGUAGAGUUCGACAGACAGGUUCAUAGUCCUUAUAGGUGGU
Molecule: long non-coding RNA, 285 nt
Organism: Oncorhynchus keta (chum salmon)
Lineage: Eukaryota; Metazoa; Chordata; Actinopteri; Salmoniformes; Salmonidae
Exons: 3
Source: RefSeq, a predicted model, not a curated record